Molecule: long non-coding RNA, 2710 nt
Organism: Lagenorhynchus albirostris (white-beaked dolphin)
Lineage: Eukaryota; Metazoa; Chordata; Mammalia; Artiodactyla; Delphinidae
Exons: 5
Source: RefSeq, a predicted model, not a curated record
CUUUCGAGGGGCAGACACGUCUUGAGAUAAGGCCAACGGCCGGCCGGGCCGCAGUGACUCAGCUGCGGCGGCUGCAAGGAAGCUCUGCGGGCCCCGAGGAACGGGACACAGGAGGCGGGGCCCAACCCGGGACGCCCCGCCCAGCCCCAGGGCUCCGGGAAGUUCCGGCCCACCACCCCCAGCUUCCCAGAGGCGCCCGGAUUUCCCACGGGUUUCCCCAUCUGCUGCAAAUAGUAACAAAGGCUGGCACUUUCAGAGCGCUCACUAAGUGUUAGGCACUUUGCUGGCAUCGUGUCUUGUUACCUCCAUCAGGGCUCUGAAGCAGGCGCCACUAUUACCUCCAUUAAGAGACAUGGAAUCUGAGGUUAAGAGAUGCCCAGCGACUUGCUCAAGGUCACACAGCUACUGAAUGGUCCUCUGCAAAAUGAGUGUAUUUUAACAUCAACUAACCUUCCUGUGAGGGUAGUUGGUAGCAACAAUGAGUGACCACCGUGGGUAAAGUCUUCCCAAGCACAAUUGUGUGAUGGCGCUCAGCGGGCAGCCCAGCUCUACAGGCAAACGUCAUUCUUCGUGAUUCUGUUUGAGGAGGACUGACCCGUGUAACCGACAGGAUAUUGCAGAAAUGAUAGUGUGAUUUCUGAGACUACUUUAUAAAGGACACUGCAGCUUCUGCACUUGCUCCAGGCUAGUGGAAGCCAGCUGCCAUGUUGUAAGCACACUCAAGCAACCUAUGGAGGAUUAUAGGUGGUGAGGAACUGAGGCUUCCUGCCAUCAGCCAGAACCAAUGUUGCAGUGCCAUUCAAGCCAUCAAGUGACCACAGCUCCAUUCUGACAUCCUGACUGCAACCUUAUGAGAGAGCUUAAGCCAGAAUCACCUAGCAAAAUUACUCCUGAAUUCCUGACACACAGAAAGUGUGAGUUAGCUGUCUCUGCUACACACUCAAAAGGAAAUGAACCUUCUGCCACAAUUGUCUUGUAAGACUGCAGCCCAAGUACUACAGGCCGACCAACCUUCCUGCCUUCUAUGUCCUGGAGAAGACCCUGAGGAGGACAGGUCAGUGCUAAUGCAGAUUUAUGACCGCCAAAGCCACCAGGGCCCCUGUAUUGCUAGGCCUAGGUCAGAUUCUCUGGUAUUUCCCGUAACGGGUGUUCCAAGCAUCCUCUCCUUGCCCUUAGCCCCUUCCCCACCCUCAUUCUCAGCAGGUGAGAAUUUUAGGGCCGAAGGGCAUGAUGCCCCUCCGCUUCUUCCCCUGCCCUCUCCUCCCCAACCACACUCAUGUAGAUUUGUCUGUGCCCACAUUCCCUCCAGCUUCACAGCCUGAACUGCUCCCUAGAUUUCACACCUGUGUGUCCAUCUGCCUCAGAAUGCCUCCACCUGCAUGUGCAUAGGUCCUUCAUACUCACCAUGUCUCAAACUGAACUCACCAUUGUCCAGCCCAUCCCCCUCCCCCAAACCUGCUUCUCCUCCUGGGGUUUCUUUCUCCUGUGAUGGCGACACCCUAACCACAUGGUUGUCCUUGCUUAAAAUCUGACGGUCAUCAUUGUCUCGUUUCUCAGGUUAAAUCCUGGCCAAAACAUUUCUUGAAUCAGUUCCCUCCACUUGUUUUACUAAGUUCAGGUCAUCACUUCCUGCUCAGAUGCCUGUAGCCACCUCCUAACACGUCUUUAUGCCUCUAGUCUGUUCCCCUCCAACCACUCUUCACGGGCAGCCAGAGUGACAGUUCUACGGUACAAAACUGACCACAGCACUCAGUUUCUUGAGUGAAGUAUGGACUUUCUCCUGAGGCCCCCGAGUCCCCACAUGACUGGCCCCACUGCAGCCAGCCCCUUACUUUCCAUGGCACUCCAGCAACACUAGACUUUCCUCUGGCCAUGCCCUGAGGAUCCUUGAUGCCACACGGGGGUCAUGGGUGAGUGCUGCUAGAAUAUCCUUUGUGUUCCUCUCUCUGUUCUUAUCACACUCCUUGGUAAAGCUCUUUUUGUACGUCUGCUUCCCAACCCUGCAAGGGCAGGAGCUAACUCUUUGUCUCAUGAUUUCAGUGUCUGGGACAGUGCUCAUCAUACAGUAGGUGCUCAGUGAAUGAAUGAAGAUGGUGGAAAGGAACCCGUUGAAAGUAUUUCUCAGCUCUAAAGAUGGAAGUGAAGCUGUAACACCUUAAUAGUAAUGCAAAUAAUUCCUGUUCACAGUUACACAGAUUGUGUCUAGUGGAAGGCAACUGACUAUUGCUGUGUGGAUUCUGACCAAUUUUGCAUCCAUUUCUGAAAUGAUUUCAGCAUUCCUUAUCUGACUAUCAUGUGUGAUAGUUUUGAGUUCUCCUUUGAAUUGGUUGUAACGUUUUAGUGGUUCUCUCGUUAAUUAAUGAGUUAAACUAAAUCUUUGACACAUAUUCAUUUUAUAUCUUGGGACAGACAUGAUUAUAUCCUCUUUUAAAAUUUAUUGUUAAAUACAGACAAAUCUUGUGUGAUCCCAUACUCCAGAAAUAUUAUUGAUGCAGAGAAAAAAAUUUAGGAUACACAGGAAACUGUUAGUGUUCACCUGUGGGGAAGAGGGAGGGAGGAGGUACUUCCUUUUCAUUUUAUAUCUUUUUGUACUAUUUUAAUUUUUAAACUAUGUUAAAAGAAUUUCAGUGGAGGUUGGCCAGGCAAAGGUUUAAGGGCCGUCUGUUUUCUUUUUUUAUACUUUUCUCUAUAAAAAAAAUAAUAACAUUAA